UGCCAGCCGCCGCGGUAAUACGUAGGUGGCGAGCGUUAUCCGGAAUUACUGGGCGUAAAGCGCACGCAGGCGGCUUGUCGGGUCUGACGUGAAAUCUCUUGGCUUAACCGGGAGGGGUCGUUGGAAACUGGCGAGCUUGAGGCGAUGAGAGGGACAUGGAAUUCCCGGUGUAGUGGUGGAAUGCGUAGAUAUCGGGAGGAACACCAGAGGCGAAAGCGGUGUCCUGGCAUUGGCCUGACGCUCAUGUGCGAAAGCGUGGGGAGCGAACGGGAUUAGAUA
RNAcentral lists this ribosomal RNA (279 nucleotides) under uncultured bacterium. RNAcentral's name for it is "partial 16S ribosomal RNA". It matches the Rfam family "Bacterial small subunit ribosomal RNA", at positions 506 to 784 of the family's 1533-position model. The record is from RNAcentral.